GAUGAAGAACGCAGCGAAAUGCGAUAAGUAAUGCGAAUUGCAGAAUUCCAGUGAGUCAUCGAAUCUUUGAACGCACAUUGCGCCCUUUGGUAUUCCGAAGGGCAUGCCUGUUCGAGCGUCAUUAUCACCCCUCAAGCCCUCGGCUUGGUGUUGGACGGUUUGGUGGAGGCCCCCUCGGGGGCUCCUGCCCCUCCCAAAGACAACGACGGCGGCCUCGUUGGACCCCCGGUACACUGAGUUCUUCACGGGACACGUAUCGGACACAUGGGUUUACGGGACACGGUCUGCCUCCCCUCAGGGAGAAUCUUUCUAAGGUUGACCUCGGAUCAGGUAGGGAUACCCGCUGAACUUAAGCAUAUCAAUAAGCGGAGGA
Molecule: unclassified non-coding RNA, 373 nt
Filed under: soil metagenome
Description: partial contains 5.8S ribosomal RNA, internal transcribed spacer 2, and large subunit ribosomal RNA
Rfam family: 5.8S ribosomal RNA (bases 1-121)
Source: RNAcentral